RNAcentral lists this ribosomal RNA (497 nucleotides) under uncultured bacterium. Its description in RNAcentral is "partial 16S ribosomal RNA". It matches the Rfam family "Bacterial small subunit ribosomal RNA", at positions 28 to 507 of the family's 1533-position model. The record is from RNAcentral.
GAUGAACGCUGGCGGCGUGCCUAAUACAUGCAAGUCGAGCGAACGGACGAGAAGCGUGCUUCUCUGAUGUUAGCGGCGGACGGGUGAGUAACACGUGGAUAACCUACCUAUAAGACUGGGAUAACGUCGGGAAACCGGAGCUAAUACCGGAUGAUAUUUUGAACCGCAUGGUUCAAAAGUGAAAGACGGUCUUGCUGUCACUUAUAGAUGGAUCCGCGCUGCAUUAGCUAGUUGGUAAGGUAACGGCUUACCAAGGCAACGAUGCAUAGCCGACCUGAGAGGGUGAUCGGCCACACUGGAACUGAGACACGGUCCAGACUCCUACGGGAGGCAGCAGUAGGGAAUCUUCCGCAAUGGGCGAAAGCCUGACGGAGCAACGCCGCGUGAGUGAUGAAGGUCUUCGGAUCGUAAAACUCUGUUAUUAGGGAAGAACAUAUGUGUAAGUAACUGUGCACAUCUUGACGGUACCUACUCAGAAAGCCACGGCUAACUACGUG